AAUGGCCGCAGUAUUUUGACUGUGCAAAGGUAGCAUAAUCAUUAGUUUCUUAAUUAGAAACUGGAAUGAAGGGUUGAACGAAAAAAUAACUGUCUCUUUUUAAAUUAUUUAGAAUUUUAUUUUUAAGUUAAAAAGCUUAAAUUUUUUUAAAAGACGAGAAGACCCUAUAGAGUUUUAUAUAGUGAAAAUUAAUAGUUUGUUUAGAAAUUAUUUAUUCUAUAAUUUUUUAUAUAUUUAGUUGGGGUGAUUAAAAAAUUUAAUAAACUUUUUUUUUAUUGUUACAUUAAUUUAUGAAUUAUUGAUCCAUUUUUUAUGAUUAAAAGAUUAAAUUACCUUAGGGAUAACAGCGUAAUUUCUUUGUAGAGUUCUAAUCGAUAAAGAAGUUUGCGACCUCGAUGUUGGAUUAAAAUUUAUUUUUGGUGUAGAAGCUAAAAUAUUAGGUCUGUUCGACCUUUAAAAUUUUACAUGAUCUGAGUUUAAACCGGUGUAAGCCAGGUUGGUUUCUAUCUUUAAAUGUAUUAAAUAUUUUAGUACGAAAGGACCAAAUAUUUAUAAUAUUUAUUUUAUAAUGAAUUAUAUUAAAAGUUA
This 588-nucleotide ribosomal RNA is filed under the name Adota ushio. RNAcentral's name for it is "partial 16S ribosomal RNA". It matches the Rfam family "Bacterial large subunit ribosomal RNA", at positions 1926 to 2738 of the family's 2925-position model. The record is from RNAcentral. Lineage: Eukaryota; Metazoa; Arthropoda; Insecta; Coleoptera; Staphylinidae.